UUGAUGAAAGGGGUUUUUUAAAACCCUAGCAUUGAAGGAAGGGUGGAAGUCAUGAUUGGGAGCAGCCGUAGAAGAUGGUGGCUAGAGGUCUGGAUCUAGGGUUUGAACAAGCCACAUUAGAGGAUGACGGAUUUAAAAGAGGUUUUCGCCUUAGAUUUGGCUCGGAUUUGAGGGUUUUCAUUGUGAUUGCUGUUUGAGGGUGGAAUUUGAGGGUUUUCCCUUUAGAUUUGGCUUGGAUUUGGACGAAUUCGAUUCAAAAGAGCUGGUUUUUAGGGUUUUGGAUGUGACUUGGAGCGGAUCUAGUUGAAGUUGAAGCAUUCAGUGGAGGGUUUCAUGCGGAAAUUGCAUUUUGCGAGAAAUCCAUUUUUCAGCCUUUUUUUAGGCGCUUGAAGUUAGAUCUGAUUGGCAUUGAAGUGGUUUGCAGAAAAAUGGCAGUAGAUCUAUAGGAGAUUUGAGCAUUUUUAUCUGUCCCAUCUGCCAAUGGAGGCAGAACAAGAGACAGAGGUUCAUGUUAGUCUUCUCUUAUCUAAUUCACUUAAAUUUCUCUUCUUUUGCCUUAGCAUACACUCUUGGUUGCUGUAAUUGAUGAUUUUGAUGUGCAUUCCUUCAGUCUGUGAUUUUGGUUUCUUGGUUUUCUUUUCCUUCUUCAGCCGUACAUUUAACUUUUUCAGAUCGU
Molecule: long non-coding RNA, 676 nt
Organism: Magnolia sinica
Lineage: Eukaryota; Viridiplantae; Streptophyta; Magnoliopsida; Magnoliales; Magnoliaceae
Exons: 2
Source: RefSeq, a predicted model, not a curated record